UCAAAAGCAUGUGCUGCGGUUUGCACACCAUCCGCUACUGUGAAGUGCUGCGGUACAUCUCAGUGUAACGUGGACCUCUUGAAAUGCUACACCUGCACCGACUUGACAGACGAAACUAAGUGUAAAGAUAUAACAGUCUGUGGGUACGGUGACAAGUUCUGUAAAACCACUUACAAACUAACUGGAACUGGUGUCACCGUCAGCAAGGGAUGUGCAUCAACUUGUACUGUAACAACAGCUUUCCCGCGAGAUGAGUGCUGUCAGGGAGAACUGUGUAACGGUAAUACAG
Acipenser ruthenus (sterlet) is the source of this 289-nucleotide long non-coding RNA. RefSeq lists it as uncharacterized. The transcript has 3 exons. The record is from RefSeq and is a predicted model, not a curated record. NCBI's taxonomy places the organism in Eukaryota, Metazoa, Chordata, Actinopteri, Acipenseriformes, Acipenseridae.